This 336-nucleotide unclassified non-coding RNA is filed under the name soil metagenome. RNAcentral describes it as "partial contains 5.8S ribosomal RNA, internal transcribed spacer 2, and large subunit ribosomal RNA". The stretch from base 1 to 120 matches the Rfam family "5.8S ribosomal RNA", at positions 35 to 154 of the family's 154-position model. The record is from RNAcentral.
GAUGAAGAACGUAGCGAAAUGCGAUAAGUAAUGUGAAUUGCAGAAUUCAGUGAAUCAUCGAAUCUUUGAACGCACAUUGCGCCCGCCAGUAUUCUGGCGGGCAUGCCUGUUCGAGCGUCAUUUCAACCAUCAAGCCCCAGGCUUGUGUUGGGGACCUGCGGCUGCCGCAGGCCCUGAAAACCAGUGGCGGGCUCGCUGUCACACCGGGCGUAGUAGAUUUUAUCUCGCUCAGGGCGUGCUGCGGGUUCCGGCCGUUAAAAAGCCUUUUUUACCCAAGGUUGACCUCGGAUCAGGUAGGAAGACCCGCUGAACUUAAGCAUAUCAAUAAGCGGAAGA